GGUUAAGCGACUAAGCGUACACGGUGGAUGCCCUGGCAGUCAGAGGCGAUGAAGGGCGUGCUAAUCUGCGAUAAGCGCCGGUAAGGUGAUAUGAACCGUUAUAACCGGCGAUACCCGAAUGGGGAAACCCAGUGUGACUCGUCACACUAUCAUUAACUGAAUCCAUAGGUUAAUGAGGCGAACCGGGGGAACUGAAACAUCUAAGUACCCCGAGGAAAAGAAAUCAACCGAGAUUCCCCCAGUAGCGGCGAGCGAACGGGGAGGAGCCCAGAGCCUGAAUCAGCAUGUGUGUUAGUGGAAGCGUCUGGAAAGGCGCGCGAUACAGGGUGACAGCCCCGUACACAAAAGCGCAUAUGCUGUGAGCUCGAUGAGUAGGGCGGGACACGUGGUAUCCUGUCUGAAUAUGGGGGGACCAUCCUCCAAGGCUAAAUACUCCUGACUGACCGAUAGUGAACCAGUACCGUGAGGGAAAGGCGAAAAGAACCCCGGCGAGGGGAGUGAAAAAGAACCUGAAACCGUGUACGUACAAGCAGUGGGAGCCCCACCACUAAGCCAGUGGUGAACUCCACAUACGCAUCCUUUGCUGAGGAUACGGUUAACGGAGCGAAAGCGACGUUCAACCGCAAAAGAAGCAGAGGGGGCUUAGUGGUGGGGUGACUGCGUACCUUUUGUAUAAUGGGUCAGCGACUUAUAUUCUGUAGCAAGGUUAACCGAAUAGGGGAGCCGGAGGGAAACCGAGUCUUAAUUGGGCGUUAAGUUGCAGGGUAUAGACCCGAAACCCGGUGAUCUAGCCAUGGGCAGGUUGAAGGUUGGGUAACACUAACUGGAGGACCGAACCGACUAAUGUUGAAAAAUUAGCGGAUGACCUGUGGCUGGGGGUGAAAGGCCAAUCAAACCGGGAGAUAGCUGGUUCUCCCCGAAAGCUAUUUAGGUAGCGCCUCGUGAAUUCAUCUCCGGGGGUAGAGCACUGUUUCGGCUAGGGGGCCAUCCCGGCUUACCAACCCGAUGCAAACUGCGAAUACCGGAGAAUGUUAUCACGGGAGACACACGGCGGGUGCUAACGUCCGUCGUGAAGAGGGAAACAACCCAGACCGCCAGCUAAGGUCCCAAAGUCAUGGUUAAGUGGGAAACGAUGUGGGAAGGCCCAGACAGCCAGGAUGUUGGCUUAGAAGCAGCCAUCAUUUAAAGAAAGCGUAAUAGCUCACUGGUCGAGUCGGCCUGCGCGGAAGAUGUAACGGGGCUAAACCAUGCACCGAAGCUGCGGCAGCGACACUCAGGUGUUGUUGGGUAGGGGAGCGUUCUGUAAGCCUGCGAAGGUGGCCUGUGAGGGUUGCUGGAGGUAUCAGAAGUGCGAAUGCUGACAUAAGUAACGAUAAAGCGGGUGAAAAGCCCGCUCGCCGGAAGACCAAGGGUUCCUGUCCAACGUUAAUCGGGGCAGGGUGAGUCGACCCCUAAGGCGAGGCCGAAAGGCGUAGUCGAUGGGAAACGGGUUAAUAUUCCCGUACUUGGUGUUACUGCGAAGGGGGGACGGAGAAGGCUAUGUUGGCCGGGCGACGGUUGUCCCGGUUUAAGCGUGUAGGUGUGUGUUCCAGGUAAAUCCGGUUCACUUUAACACUGAGGCGUGAUGACGAGGCACUACGGUGCUGAAGCAACAAAUGCCCUGCUUCCAGGAAAAGCCUCUAAGCAUCAGGUAACAUCAAAUCGUACCCCAAACCGACACAGGUGGUCAGGUAGAGAAUACCAAGGCGCUUGAGAGAACUCGGGUGAAGGAACUAGGCAAAAUGGUGCCGUAACUUCGGGAGAAGGCACGCUGACACGUAGGUGAAGUGAUUUACUCACGGAGCUGAAGUCAGUCGAAGAUACCAGCUGGCUGCAACUGUUUAUUAAAAACACAGCACUGUGCAAACACGAAAGUGGACGUAUACGGUGUGACGCCUGCCCGGUGCCGGAAGGUUAAUUGAUGGGGUCAGCGCAAGCGAAGCUCCUGAUCGAAGCCCCGGUAAACGGCGGCCGUAACUAUAACGGUCCUAAGGUAGCGAAAUUCCUUGUCGGGUAAGUUCCGACCUGCACGAAUGGCGUAAUGAUGGCCAGGCUGUCUCCACCCGAGACUCAGUGAAAUUGAACUCGCUGUGAAGAUGCAGUGUACCCGCGGCAAGACGGAAAGACCCCGUGAACCUUUACUAUAGCUUGACACUGAACAUUGAGCCUUGAUGUGUAGGAUAGGUGGGAGGCUUUGAAGUGUGGACGCCAGUCUGCAUGGAGCCGGCCUUGAAAUACCACCCUUUAAUGUUUGAUGUUCUAACGUGGACCCGUGAUCCGGGUUGCGGACAGUGUCUGGUGGGUAGUUUGACUGGGGCGGUCUCCUCCUAAAGAGUAACGGAGGAGCACGAAGGUUGGCUAAUCCUGGUCGGACAUCAGGAGGUUAGUGCAAUGGCAUAAGCCAGCUUGACUGCGAGCGUGACGGCGCGAGCAGGUGCGAAAGCAGGUCAUAGUGAUCCGGUGGUUCUGAAUGGAAGGGCCAUCGCUCAACGGAUAAAAGGUACUCCGGGGAUAACAGGCUGAUACCGCCCAAGAGUUCAUAUCGACGGCGGUGUUUGGCACCUCGAUGUCGGCUCAUCACAUCCUGGGGCUGAAGUAGGUCCCAAGGGUAUGGCUGUUCGCCAUUUAAAGUGGUACGCGAGCUGGGUUUAGAACGUCGUGAGACAGUUCGGUCCCUAUCUGCCGUGGGCGCUGGAGAACUGAGGGGGGCUGCUCCUAGUACGAGAGGACCGGAGUGGACGCAUCACUGGUGUUCGGGUUGUCAUGCCAAUGGCACUGCCCGGUAGCUAAAUGCGGAAGAGAUAAGUGCUGAAAGCAUCUAAGCACGAAACUUGCCCCGAGAUGAGUUCUCCCUGAGACUUAGAGUCUCCUGAAGGAACGUUGAAGACGACGACGUUGAUAGGCCGGGUGUGUAAGCGCAGCGAUGCGUUGAGCUAACCGGUACUAAUGAACCGUGAGGCUUAACCUU
This 3007-nucleotide ribosomal RNA is filed under the name Salmonella enterica subsp. enterica serovar Brandenburg. RNAcentral describes it as "23S ribosomal RNA". It matches the Rfam family "Bacterial large subunit ribosomal RNA". The record is from RNAcentral. Lineage: Bacteria; Pseudomonadati; Pseudomonadota; Gammaproteobacteria; Enterobacterales; Enterobacteriaceae.